Molecule: ribosomal RNA, 447 nt
Filed under: uncultured bacterium
Lineage: Bacteria
Description: bacterial SSU rRNA
Rfam family: Bacterial small subunit ribosomal RNA
Source: RNAcentral
CCAGACUCCUACGGGAGGCAGCAGUGGGGGAUAUUGCACAAUGGGGGAAACCCUGAUGCAGCGACGCCGCGUGGGUGAAGAAGCGCCUCGGCGCGUAAAGCCCUGUCAGCAGGGAAGAAAAUGACGGUACCUGAAGAAGAAGCCCCGGCUGACUACGUGCCAGCAGCCGCGGUAAUACGUAGGGGGCAAGCGUUAUCCGGAUUUACUGGGUGUAAAGGGAGCGUAGGUGGCAUGGCAAGCCAGAAGUGAAAACCCGGGGCUUAACCCCGCGGAUUGCUUUUGGAACUGUCAGGCUGGAGUGCAGGAGGGGCAGGCGGAAUUCCUGGUGUAGCGGUGAAAUGCGUAGAUAUCAGGAGGAACACCGGUGGCGAAGGCGGCCUGCUGGACUGUAACUGACACUGAGGCUCGAAAGCGUGGGGAGCAAACAGGAUUAGAUACCCGUGUAAU